GACGAACGCUGGCGGCGUGCUUAACACAUGCAAGUCGAACGGAAAGGCCCUGCUUGCAGGGUACUCGCGUGGCGAACGGGUGAGUAACACGCGGGUGAUCUGCCCUGCACUUCGGGAUAAGCCUGGGAAACUGGGUCUAAUACCGGAUAGGAGCCAUUUUUAGUGUGAUGGUUGGAAAGUUUUUUCGGUGUAGGAUGGGCUCGCGGCCUAUCAGCUUGUUGGUGGGGUAAUGGCCUACCAAGGCGGCGACGGGUAGCCGGCCUGAGAGGGUGGACGGCCACAUUGGGACUGAGAUACGGCCCAGACUCCUACGGGAGGCAGCAGUGGGGAAUAUUGCACAAUGGGCGCAAGCCUGAUGCAGCGACGCCGCGUGGGGGAUGACGGCCUUCGGGUUGUAAACUCCUUUCGCUAGGGACGAAGCUUUUGUGACGGUACCUAGAUAAGAAGCACCGGCUAACUACGUG
Molecule: ribosomal RNA, 464 nt
Filed under: uncultured bacterium
Lineage: Bacteria
Description: partial 16S ribosomal RNA
Rfam family: Bacterial small subunit ribosomal RNA
Source: RNAcentral